UACGUAGGUGGCGAGCGUUGUCCGGAUUUACUGGGCGUAAAGAGCGCGCAGGCGGUCGUACAAGUCGCGUGUGAAAGCCCCCGGCUCAACUGGGGAGGGUCACGCGAUACUGUUCGACUCGAAGGCAGGAGAGGGAAGCGGAAUUCCCGGUGUAGUGGUGAAAUGCGUAGAUAUCGGGAGGAACACCAGUGGCGAAGGCGGCUUCCUGGCCCGGUACUGACGCUGAGGUGCGAAAGCGUGGGGAGCAAACAGG
This 253-nucleotide ribosomal RNA is filed under the name uncultured bacterium. Its description in RNAcentral is "partial 16S ribosomal RNA". It matches the Rfam family "Bacterial small subunit ribosomal RNA", at positions 524 to 776 of the family's 1533-position model. The record is from RNAcentral.